UACGUAGGGCGCAAGCGUUAUCCGGAAUUAUUGGGCGUAAAGAGCUCGUAGGCGGUUUGUCGCGUCUGCUGUGAAAACUCAGGGCUUAACCCUGAGCCUGCAGUGGGUACGGGCAGACUAGAGUGUGGUAGGGGAGAUCGGAAUUCCUGGUGUAGCGGUGAAAUGCGCAGAUAUCAGGAGGAACACCGGUGGCGAAGGCGGUUCUCUGGGCAUGUCCUGACGCUGAGGAGCGAAAGUGUGGGGAGCGAACAGG
RNAcentral lists this ribosomal RNA (253 nucleotides) under uncultured bacterium. Its description in RNAcentral is "partial 16S ribosomal RNA". It matches the Rfam family "Bacterial small subunit ribosomal RNA", at positions 524 to 776 of the family's 1533-position model. The record is from RNAcentral.